Oncorhynchus keta (chum salmon) is the source of this 2017-nucleotide long non-coding RNA. RefSeq lists it as uncharacterized. The transcript has 7 exons. The record is from RefSeq and is a predicted model, not a curated record. Lineage: Eukaryota; Metazoa; Chordata; Actinopteri; Salmoniformes; Salmonidae.
GCUAGAAGUUUCAGAACAUUUAGAAAGGUAGUUCUAACCUUACAUAUGACUGGGAGAAGUGUCGAGAAUAAGAAAGCAAUAUAUUCCAUAGUACACUAGAACACAGCAAAACAUGAACAACAACAGUCUAAACAUAGCUGAGGGCAAUUGAGCAAAAUGUCCACUAGAUGACAGCAAAUGGACCUAUCACGAACCUACAGGAAGGGUGAGAAAUCCAUAUCUGUUUUUCAACCAGGGUAUUUAGUGGCCUGGAUUUCUCACCCUUCCUGUAGGUUCGUGAUAGGUCCAUUUGCUGUCAUCAGCUCCCCAUAAUGUGUAUAGUAUUGCUUACUAGGUGUGUCCAAUCAAUUUUGUAACUACGCCCUCUUCUAAUUAGGGCUAAUUGGAAAAGUUGUUCAUAAGAGGACAUUGUAUUAUUUCUUUGUACUUAAUUAUAUGAAAUAUCUUGUUCCUUCUUUCUUUUUGAUGACCAAUUGACCCUUUUUACCAAAGAGCACCUUCUGUCUACCAAAAUGUACUAUUGUGUACCUUAGUAGCACUUCCCUUCCUCCUCUUUCUACUAGUUAAGCCUGUGGUCUCCUUGACGAUUGUCAGACUCCAGGACAUUAGUCAGGUCAAGAAGUUUUCAGACUGGAAAGAUGUCUUCUCACUGAGACUGAUGGUCACAUUCCUGGAACUCAAUCACCAGUUCAGUGAACUCUCUUCCAUUGGAACCCAAGCUGACUUUCACAAGAAGUGGAUCCACGCACUGAGCCGCUUAGCCUUUGCCCAGCUCUCGUCAGAAACACUGCAUGACUGUUGGAUGGAAAACAUUCACCUAAAGCUCAACCUGACCAACAGCCUCAGUCAACGCAUACGUCUUCGUCUCUGCCCCUUGGCAGAUUUCAGCAUCUGACAUGGUGGUCAAAGUGGGCGUCCUCACAGGCUCUCAGACUGGCUUCCAGGCCCUGAGGGACACCCAUGUGGGUCUUCUGGACUGGGCAGUGCCAGCAGAUCACUCUGCCUGCCUGAUCUAACCACUGGUGCUGAUGUCCUUCAAGCAGAUGACGGCGUGGACCCAGAAUUUUGCACGUAGCCUGCGAGAGAGGACCGAGGACCUGAAGCGCCAGAGACAACUGACCGAGGACCUCCUGCACCAGAUGGUGGCCAAGCAGCUGUGGUAGCAGAAGCACAUGGAGGCAGAGAGCUACGAGAAGGUUGAGACGAUAGACGAUGCCUACAUGGUGGUGAGGGGCCUGCCUGAGAGGAACGGGGACAAGCACGCUGACGAGAGCCAAAAUGUUGCUGGACUUGGUGCCAGGCGUCAGAUAGGUGGCCAUACCCCACAGCUUCGCGCAGGAAUACACACAGGUCCAUGUGUGGCAGGUAUUGUCAGCUACAAGAUGCCCAGAUACGGCCUGUUUGGAGAUACUGUCAACACACCUCCAGAAUGGAGUCCACCAGCCUGCGUAGGUAUACACACACACAUGCAGUACAGUAUGCAGGCACCUGUUCCCAAUGCUGUGUGUGUGUGUCUGUGUCAGCGUCAGCUCAGAGGAUCCACGCCAGCUCAGCCACCUACCUGGCCCUGAUGAAGGACUGUGUCUACGAGCUCCAUCUGAGAGGAGAGAACGAGGUGAAGAGUAAAGGGAAAAAUAACACAUAUUGGCUGAUCGGACACAAGAACUACAGUGUUCAGAAGGACAGCCUGGUGUGUCACUGGAACCCAAAUCUUGCCCGCAAGAAGAAAACACUGGAGGGGAGCGACAUUUCUAUGGGCAGUAGAAAAAAAUAUACACGGAGUAUACUGAACAUUGGGAGCACCUUCCUUAUAUUGAGAGGGAGAGAGACUGACCGGCGAGCAUUCAGGAUUCUGAAAAUGAACAGCCUGAGUUGAGCAGCACUGAAAUGAAACUUAGAAAAUCAUUUGUGAGAAUUUGCGUCCAGAACUACACUACAAGACCAAAAGCAUGUGGACACCCGCUCGUCGAACAUCUCAUUCCAAAAUCAUGGGUAUUAAUAUGGAGUUGGUCCCCCC